RNAcentral lists this ribosomal RNA (500 nucleotides) under uncultured Glomeromycotina. RNAcentral's name for it is "partial small subunit ribosomal RNA". It matches the Rfam family "Eukaryotic small subunit ribosomal RNA", at positions 591 to 1092 of the family's 1831-position model. Lineage: Eukaryota; Fungi; Glomeromycota. The record is from RNAcentral.
CCAAUAGCGUAUAUUAAAGUUGUUGCAGUUAAAAAGCUCGUAGUUGGAUUUCGGGGUCAGUAGGUCGGUCGUGCCACUGGUAUGAACUGGUUUUACUGAUUCCUCCCUCUUGAAGAACUGUAAGGCCAUUAAUGUGGUGUUGCAGGGAAUCAGGACUGUUACUUUGAAAAAAUUAGAGGGUUUAAAGCAGGCUUUAGCGUGAAUACAUUAGCAUGGAAUAAUGAAAUAGGACGUUUGAUCCUAUUUUGUUGGUUUCUAGGAUUGACGUAAUGAUUAAUAGGGAUAGUUGGGGGCAUUAGUAUUCAAUUGUCAGAGGUGAAAUUCUUGGAUUUAUUGAAGACUAACUACUGCGAAAGCAUUUGCCAAGGAUGUUUUCAUUAAUCAAGAACGAAAGUUAGGGGAUCGAAGACGAUCAGAUACCGUCGUAGUCUUAACCAUAAACUAUGCCGACUAGGGAUCGGAUGAUGUUAAUUUUUUAAUGACUCAUUCGGCGCCUUACG